RNAcentral lists this non-coding RNA (4995 nucleotides) under Pan troglodytes (chimpanzee). Lineage: Eukaryota; Metazoa; Chordata; Mammalia; Primates; Hominidae. The record is from RNAcentral.
CAGCCAUUAACCUGUCCAUCUUCAGAACCUGAAUCGGUAGCCAAAUCUCAGCAGACAGAGCUACAUAAUGCCAGAUAAAUCUUCUUGCUGAAUGAGAGACCCAUCCUACCAGCAUAAACAACAUUUGAACACUCUAGCCCCCAGCCUUACCAGCCAGCUCUCCAUUCUCUACACACAGAGUCUUUGUUGGGACACUCUAGGCCAGUUAUUUCACCAUCCUGAGUCUGGUCCCUCUCUGAGGCCCAGGGACAAAUAUUCAGUUCAGGUUUGAAUUAAGGAAAGAUACUACUACCUUGAUGGGGGAUCAGGACCACAGGACCAAAUUGAACCAGGCAAGACUGAAGGGGCCAAGGGAUAGAGGAUCCCCCUCCCAAAGGAGCCAACUGGAAGGCAACAAUUGGGUGGCCUGUUAAAGAGGAAAGAAGCUUAGGACAGGGAGAAUGCCACUUUCUAGUAUUACAAAAAUAUCCUUUAGGCAAGGAAGUAAAUUCUGCACUUGGAGGAAGAGGGGUGGGCAAGAAGUGUCCACAUUCACAGGUAUUUGUUCUCAAGAAGUGAGGCACCUGUGAUUCUCAAAAUAGUAGAGUCGAAAGGAAAAAAAAAAGGGAGGUGGAAGGGGAGAAAAAGAAACAAAAAACUACCUUUUGGGCAAAAGGAACGGAAUGGCCAAGGCUACAUUAUAUACAAGCCAAAAGAACAAUUUCCAUUGACCUUGAGGAAUGUGUAAGGGCAAAGUCAUAAGCCAAGUUUAAUUGAUAAUUUCACUGUCCAUAUGUGCAGAAAGAGCAAUGAACCACAAGACUUGGGCUCAAGGCCCAGCUCUGCCUCUAACAUGCUGCAGGACCUAGGAUCAGUCCUUUCCUGUCUCCAGGACUCAAUUUUCUUGCUAUACAAUGAAGGGAUUGUACGGAGUGAUUUACAUGGACUAGCAGCUCUAAGGUUUGUAAGACUGUAUUAUAAACUUUGAAGAGAAUGAGGGAAGGGUCCAAGGAUUCUCCUUUGCAGCUUUCCUAGAAAACCAUGUAUCUUCCCCAUGAAAGGAAGAAUACAAAUAAUGAUGGUCAAAUUUAUUGAAUGCCUAUUAUGUGCCACAUACUAAUGUCCAUAGUUAAGAGUCAAACUAAGACCCAAAGCCAAAAGAAAGUAUUGUACCCAAGGCCACAUAACUAGUAAGUGACGUAACUGAGACUUCAGAUAUCAAACUAACUCCAAGCCUGUGCUGAACACCGUUCUCUUCAUCUACCCAGCCACUUUUUGUUGUUAUUGUACCUUUGUUUGUUUAUUCUUCCAUUCACUCAUGCUACCAAUGUUCCCUAAGUACUUUCUCUGUGCACGAAACUGUGUAAACACCAGUAAGCAUGAGAAAAGAUCUAUCAGGAAGUUCACAGUUGAGCAAAAGAAACAAGAAACCGUGAUCAGGAGGUUUAGAAAAGUUAUCUUUCUUUCCAAAGCACCAUUCUGAUUAUGUUUAUGAUCCUCAAAAGGCUUCAAAGGUUCCCCUUUUCCUACAGGAUAAAGUCCAAGUAGCUUAGCCUGUUUUCUAAUCCCUCUGAGAUCUGGUCCCUGUCUUGUCUCCUCUCGACAUCAUUCAUUCAACAUUUGUUAAGUGCUGACUAUGUGCCAGACACUGUACCAGAGUCUUGGAAUGCAAUGCUGAGUGGCACAGACUUAGGCCCUGCUCUCCUGGAGCCUGCAGAUAUUAAUCAAAUUAUCACACUGAUACAGAAUUAGGCAAUCCUUUAAACUUUCAGUGGUCCAGCCCCACUUGAUUCAGGAUCCUUCCUUCCAGCAGAGGUUCCCAGCCCAGGAAGUACAUAGUCAUGCAGUUCUCCUUGGACUCUUUAGAUAACCAGUUGAUCUUUAAUAAAGUGAUUUGUCUAAUUAAUCAACCAGGAACAUCUGCUUCUGAAGAGAGAACUUUUUUUGGAUCCCAUGAAUAAAUGUUUGUUUUAUUUUAACAUAGUUUUUCAACAACAGGUUAAAAUUGCUGGCUACACACUACUAUGGAAUGCCACGAUUUCCCUCCAGAGGAGUCUCUGCUUAAAGUUAAUUGCUUAUUACUUAUGUUCCCAAUUUAAUCCUAAAUUUCAAGAAGGCAGAGUUUUUGCCUAUUCUUGCUCAUCAUCGAAUACCCAGCACUUUGCCCAGUGCCAGGCACGCUGUUCUGUACAUGUGCUGGUUAGGCAUCCUUAACUACAUAAAGCCUUAAUUCAAAAUGAGACUGUGGCAGACAUAGAUCCUUACCUUAAAAAAAAAAAAAAGUUUUCAGAAGGUGAAACAGAGCCUGAGAGGAAAAGCAACUUUCCAAAAGCCACAGAGAAAGAUGAUAGCUUAAUUGAAGUUGGAACCAAAGAGAACCAGACGUCCUGAACUCCUGCUAUACCACACCCACUCACACACCUUGAGUCUGAAAUGGCCAGGAGGACAGGUCCUCAAAGCAAAAAGGUACAUAACUCGAGGCAGACAGUCUCCCAUCCCAAGCUUCUGUUGUACAUGAAUUUACAUCAGAGAGUCACUGAGCCGACUCUUUUAGAUGUAGAAGAGACCAUCUUCAUGGGAGAAACUCUUGCCUGCCCCCAAACAAGACCUCUGACUGAGGAAUAUAUUCAAUCACUCCCUCUAACCCAAACUCCCCAAAACACUAUUUCCUAUUAUGUCUCCAUAACCAAAUUCAACCCACCCGAAUCUCAAGAUUAGAUCUGUGAGCUCACAAAGGCCUAAUCACCCAAUUAAGAGGAGGAAAAUCUGAUCCUUUCUAAACAAAGUGAAAUGUGAAGUAACCCAGUUGCUGAGAUUAAGUCUCACUCAGGAAGAAGCAAAGGAGCUAGGAGAGAAUGGGUGGGUCAUUCAUUAAACAGAAUUUUCCAGGAAAUUUGAGUGAUGUGUCUCUCCAGAUCUCAGUGUUCCAGGCCCCAGAACAAUGCUGGAGGCAAGGCCCUGGCUUUAGGAGGACCAUGGGGGUGAAGACAGCAUUACUCUCCUUGCCCGAAAUCCCUAGGUACUAUCUAGGGGCAUUCUGAUCUCUCACUGGACAAAUGGCCUGGUAUCAAUGAUGAACUUUAUACUCAGGCCCAAAAAAUUCCAAGAGAAAAGUACUUAGAAAGAUAAACUAUAGCCCACUACCAUCAUUUCAAUAGACUCAGAAAAUUCAACAUCCAUUUCAAAUGGAAACAAAACAAAGCUUUUGCAGCAAACUAGAAAUAGAAGAUACCUCCUUCCAUGUAAUAAAGGGCAUAUACCAUAAAAAAAUACAACUAGCAUUAUACUUAAUGGUGAAAGACUAAACAUCUAAAAUUAGAAAAAAGGCAAAGAUGUCUGUUCUUACCACUUCUGUUCAUAUAGUACUAAAAGUCCUAGCUACAGCAAUUAGACAAGUAAUAAAUAAAUAAAAGUCAUCCAAAUUGGAAAGGAAGAAGUAUAAUUGUCUCUGUUUGCAGAUGACAUCAUACAUAUAGAACACUUUAGGAAGAACUGAGUUUUCCAACACUGGAGGCAUGUUACCAGUGCAUGUUCAAGGGCAUACAAAAAUGUUAAAGAGAAAGCAAGACUAGAUGAUCUCUUAAGAUCCUUCCAACUCUGAUACAGAAGAGGUACUCCAAGACAAAGAAUGGAGUAUGCCAAAUAAACGGUAGAGAGAAUGAGUGAGUGCACUAUGUUGAGAAGGAAAAGACUUUGUGCUGAAAGGGUCAAGAAGCCUUUGUGGAAGAAGCAGCACUUGAGUAGUUUUGAUCUAGACUAUGGUCUAUAAGAACAAGCACUGUGCUGGGCAUAAGACUGACCUGGUUUUAUAUAUAUAUAAAAAUUAUCUGGUUCAGGAAUUGAAAGACAGUUUGGCAUACCGUUAAGGGCAAGGACUCAGAUAGACCUGGAUUCAAAUCCCAAUUCUGCCUUAGACAAGUGAUUUCUCCUGACAGAGCAUCAAUUUUCUCCUCUUCAAUAUGAGAAUAACAACUUCUAGCUUACAGAAUUGCUGGAAGAAUUUGUGAAAAUGUAUUUGAUGUUCCCAGUAGAGUGCCUGUCAUACAGAUGUGUGCAGUAUGUAAAUGGUAGUGAUUACUCUGAGAAGGUGUUUGGACUUUGGUUAAUUACUUACUGAUUUCUGGAAUGAGACCUUUAUGACUGAUACAAAAAUGGACACAUAAACCAAUGGAACAGAAUAGAGAACUCAGAAAUAAAACCAUACACCCAAGCCAUCUGGUCUUCUACAAAGUUGACAAAAGUAAGAAAUGAAGAAAGGACUCCUUAUUCAGUAAAUGGUGCUGGGAUAGCUGGCUAGCCACAUGCAGAAGAAUAAAACUGGGCCCUUACCUUUCACCAUAUACAAAAAUUAACUCAAGAUGGAUUAAAGAUUUAAAUUUAAGUCCUCCAACUAUAAGAAUCCUAGAAGAAAACCUAUAAAACACCAUUCUCAAUGUCAGCCUUGGGAAAGAAUUUAUGAUUAAGUCUUCAAAUGCAGCUGCAACAAAAACAAAAAUUGACAGUGGGAUCUAAUUAAAGAGCUUUUGCACAGCAAAAGAAAUUAUCAAUAAACAGACAACCUACAGAAUGAAAGAAAAUAUUCAAACUAUGCAUCCAACAGAAGUCUAAUAUUCAGACUCUGUAAGAAACUUAAUAAGCAAAAAACAAAUAACUCCAAUAAAAAAAAUGGGCAAAAGACAUGAACAGACACUUCUGAAAAGAAGACACUCAAGCAGCCAAUAAACAUGAAAAACUGCUCCACAUUACUAGUCAUCAGAGAAACAGAAAUCAAAACCACAAUUGCGUGCUAUCUCACACUAGUCAGAAUGGUUAUUAUCAAAAAGUCAAAAAACAACAGAUGCUGAUGAGGCUGUACAGAAAGGGGAACACUUAUUCACUGUUGGUGAGAAUGUAAAUUGGUUAAGCCACUGUGGAAAGUAGUUUGGAGAUUUCUCAAAGAACUUAGAAUUAUCAUUCAACCCAGCAAUCCCAUUACUGGGUAUAUAUCCAAAAGAAAAUAAAUCCUUCUACAAAAAA